GAUGAACGCUGGCGGCAUGCCUAAUACAUGCAAGUCGGAACGAGAGGAAGGAAAGCUUGCUUUCCUGAAUCUAGUGGCGGACGGGUGAGUAACACGUAUCCAACCUGCCGUCUACUCUUGGACAGCCUUCUGAAAGGAAGAUUAAUACAAGAUGGCAUCAUGAGUCCGCAUGUUCACAUAGAUUAAAGGUAUUCCGGUAGACGAUGGGGAUGCGUUCCAUUAGAUAGUAGGC
Molecule: ribosomal RNA, 232 nt
Filed under: uncultured bacterium
Lineage: Bacteria
Description: partial 16S ribosomal RNA
Rfam family: Bacterial small subunit ribosomal RNA
Source: RNAcentral